UAUUGGCGGCUGUUUUUCCAUGCAGUCGAACGGCAGCACGGGGGCAACCCUGGUGGCGAGUGGCGAACGGAUGAGUAAUGCAUCGGAACGUGCCCAGUAGUGGGGGAUAACCAGUCGAAAGAUUGGCUAAUACCGCAUACGACCUACGGGUGAAAGCGGGGGACCGUAAGGCCUCGCGCUAUUGGAGCGGCCGAUGUCUGAUUAGCUAGUUGGCGGGGUAAGAGCCCACCAAGGCGACGAUCAGUAGCUGGUCUGAGAGGACGACCAGCCACACUGGGACUGAGACACAGCCCAGACUCCUACGGGAGGCAGCAGUGGGGAAUUUUGGACAAUGGGCGCAAGCCUGAUCCAGCCAUGCCGCGUGCGGGAAGAAGGCCUUCGGGUUGUAAACCGCUUUUGGCAGGAACGAAACGGCGAUUCCUAAUACGAGUCGUUAAUGACGGUACCUGCAGAAUAAGCACCGGCUAACUACGUGCCAGCAGCCGCGGUAAUACGUAGGGUGCAAGCGUUAAUCGGAAUUACUGGGCGUAAAGCGUACGCAGGCGGCUUUGCAAGACAGGUGUGAAAUCCCCGGGCCUAACCUGGGAACUGCAUUUGUGACUGCAUGGCUAGAGUCUGUCAGAGGGGGGUGGAAUUCCACGUGUAGCAGUGAAAUGCGUAGAGAUGUGGAAGAACACCGAUGGCGAAGGCAGCCCCCUGGGAUGAGACUGACGCUCAUGUACGAAAGCGUGGGGAGCAAACAGGAUUAGAUACCCUGGUAGUCCACGCCCUAAACGAUGUCUACUAGUUGUCGGAGGGUAACUCCUUCGGUAACGCAGCUAACGCGUGAAGUAGACCGCCUGGGGAGUACGGUCGCAAGAUUAAAACUCAAAGGAAUUGACGG
RNAcentral lists this ribosomal RNA (883 nucleotides) under uncultured beta proteobacterium. RNAcentral describes it as "bacterial SSU rRNA". It matches the Rfam family "Bacterial small subunit ribosomal RNA", at positions 34 to 916 of the family's 1533-position model. The record is from RNAcentral. Lineage: Bacteria; Pseudomonadati; Pseudomonadota; Betaproteobacteria.